RNAcentral lists this unclassified non-coding RNA (312 nucleotides) under Hevea brasiliensis (rubber tree). Lineage: Eukaryota; Viridiplantae; Streptophyta; Magnoliopsida; Malpighiales; Euphorbiaceae. The record is from RNAcentral.
AAAAAAAAAAAAAAGGAGUUUCGAUUCCUGGAAACAAUUGAUCCAUUGUAAAAUCGUAACUAGACUCAAAUUUCUCCAAACAAAAGUGAAGGAAAGGGGGAGAAAGACUUUAGAUCAGAGAAAAAGAAAAGGUACAUUAUUUAAAAGUGAAGGAAUCAACCAAUUUCCCGUCUACUUUCCCUUUUAACUCUCAGGAAACAACAACGAAAGAACAGAGGGAACACACUCGCAUUGAAGACAUGCUUAUUUAUCUUAAGUGUCACAUAUAUCAUAAAACUGAGAAGCAGGAGAAAACCCAAAAAAAAAAAAAGA